AACGAACGCUGGCGGCAUGCCUAACACAUGCAAGUCGAACGAGACCUUCGGGUCUAGUGGCGCACGGGUGCGUAACGCGUGGGAACCUGCCUUUAGGUUCGGAAUAACUCAGAGAAAUUUGAGCUAAUACCGGAUAAUGUCUUCGGACCAAAGAUUUAUCGCCUUUAGAUGGGCCCGCGUAAGAUUAGCUAGUUGGUGGGGUAAAGGCCUACCAAGGCGACGAUCUUUAGCUGGUCUGAGAGGAUGAUCAGCCACACUGGGACUGAGACACGGCCCAGACUCCUACGGGAGGCAGCAGUGGGGAAUAUUGGACAAUGGCGGAAAGGACCUGAUCCAGCAAUGCGCGUGAGUGAUGAAGGCCUA
This 363-nucleotide ribosomal RNA is filed under the name uncultured bacterium. RNAcentral describes it as "bacterial SSU rRNA". It matches the Rfam family "Bacterial small subunit ribosomal RNA", at positions 29 to 418 of the family's 1533-position model. The record is from RNAcentral.